CCGCAGGGGAGCGGCAGACGGGUGAGUAACGCGUGGGAACGUACCAUUUGCUACGGAAUAACUCAGGGAAACUUGUGCUAAUACCGUAUGAGCCCGAAAGGGGAAAGAUUUAUCGGCAAAUGAUCGGCCCGCGUUGGAUUAGCUAGUUGGUGGGGUAAAGGCCUACCAAGGCGACGAUCCAUAGCUGGUCUGAGAGGAUGAUCAGCCACACUGGGACUGAGACACGGCCCAGACUCCUACGGGAGGCAGCAGUGGGGAAUAUUGGACAAUGGGCGCAAGCCUGAUCCAGCCAUGCCGCGUGAGUGAUGAAGGCCCUAGGGUUGUAAAGCUCUUUCACCGGUGAAGAUAAUGACGGUAACCGGAGAAAAAGCCCCGGCUAACUUCGUGCCAGCCGCCG
This 397-nucleotide ribosomal RNA is filed under the name Brucella anthropi. RNAcentral describes it as "bacterial SSU rRNA". It matches the Rfam family "Bacterial small subunit ribosomal RNA", at positions 85 to 517 of the family's 1533-position model. The record is from RNAcentral. Lineage: Bacteria; Pseudomonadati; Pseudomonadota; Alphaproteobacteria; Hyphomicrobiales; Brucellaceae.